This 298-nucleotide unclassified non-coding RNA is filed under the name fungal sp. Its description in RNAcentral is "partial internal transcribed spacer region". The stretch from base 1 to 46 matches the Rfam family "Eukaryotic small subunit ribosomal RNA", at positions 1786 to 1831 of the family's 1831-position model. The record is from RNAcentral. Lineage: Eukaryota; Fungi.
AAGUCGUAACAAGGUUUCCGUAGGUGAACCUGCGGAAGGAUCAUUAACACGUAUCCAACGUAUACACCCCUGUGGUCUUGUGCGCGGCUCUAUAUGUGAGUGGUAGAAACUUUUGUUUGGUACCUGCGUGGUACCAGCAAGUUCUACUAGCCUUCUGCGAGAAAGCAACUUCGUAUAGCAGACGUUUUAACCAACCCAUUAAACCCAAUUGACUAAUAUAGAAAUAAGUAUGGUGCGCCCUGCUUUAUUUCGAAUUACGAAACGAUAACAACUCUUAACAACGGAUAUCUUGGUUCUC